GGCUAUAGCUACAUCACCUUGACUGUGCCUGCUAACAUCUGAUCAGAAGCUAAGCACGGCCAAGCCUGGUUAGUACUCAGAUGGGGAUGGUACCAUGGAAACCAUGCUAAGAGGAAGGGAUCCAUGGCGCUCAGUCU
Molecule: ribosomal RNA, 137 nt
Filed under: Mesocricetus auratus (golden hamster)
Lineage: Eukaryota; Metazoa; Chordata; Mammalia; Rodentia; Cricetidae
Source: RNAcentral